Long non-coding RNA from Phyllostomus discolor (pale spear-nosed bat), 2325 nucleotides. RefSeq lists it as uncharacterized. NCBI's taxonomy places the organism in Eukaryota, Metazoa, Chordata, Mammalia, Chiroptera, Phyllostomidae. The transcript has 2 exons. The record is from RefSeq and is a predicted model, not a curated record.
GCAACUAGUUAUAAAUAAGGCUAAUGAAGAAGCUCAUCACCUCCAUCAGGAGAAUCUCAAUGGCCAGGGUGAUACAGCCAGGGUGAUUCCCUUGACAGAACCCAACUGGGCACUAAUAGCAGGGACCAAGGCUUCCUAGAACAUUACAAAUAAAUGGUGCAUAUUGGAAGGGGUUAAGAAAGGAGUGCUAAACAAAGGAGCCUGAAUAUGGUACAGGCUGUUCAACAAAACCAAAUGAAGACCCUUUUGAUUUUUUACAGAGGAUCUAUCAGGUCUAUCAAAAGCACGCUGAUGCUGAUCCACAGGGACCAGAAAAUGUCUGAAUGGUAAAUGUGACUUUUAUUGGGCAAAGGGCCCCAGACAUCAAAAGGAAACUCCUAAAUUUAGAUGGGGCAUUGGGAAUAAAUCCCUCCAAGCUGGUGGGCACAGCCUUUAAAGUUUACCACCCCAAUUUGCUUGGGAAACAAGCAAACUGAAUCAGGCCACCGCUUUCUUAGAAUCAGUGUGGAAAAAUCAGAAAGAGAGGUGGGACCCAAAAGGAAAAGGAAAAGACCCACUGGUUGCCAACCAAUGCACCUGUUGCAAAGAGGAAGGCCAGUGGAGAAAGGACUGCCCAGAACUCAAAAAGAAAAAUAAAAGGAGAGAAACCCUUGCUGAAAAAGGUUAGACAGGAAUGGCAAAUCUGGUAACAAAUGAGGAAGCCCAGGGGCUCCCCUAGAUAUCUCCUGACCUAUUACUAUUUCCCCACAGGAGCCCAUGGUGCAAGUGACAGUGGAAACAAGCUGAUUGACUUCCUUGUAGACACAGAAGCUACACACUACUAAAUACAAAACCACCCAAGAGAAGUUCAGCUGUGGUGUUGGUUCCUGGAGUGACUGGACAGUUAUAAAAACAGGUGUUCCUUCAACCUCCAGAAUGGCAGCUUGAGGAUCAAAAACUUAAACAGAGUUUUCUCUCCACGCCAGGCUGCCCCAUUCCAUGGUCGGGUCAAGAUUCCCUUUGUAAACUGCAUGCACAAAUAACCUUCCCCCCCCCGAGAAGCAGCAACUAGGUCUAGAGUUCCCAUCGGAACAUGCUGCCCAGGUGCAGGCACUCCUGACUUGCCCAGAAGGACCCAGAGGUGAACUCUUCCCACCUGAGAUCUCUGGGCAGGUCGAUGAAGCCAUUUGGGCUGCAGGACCCCAGGCAAGGCGAUUAACAUCCAACCCACAAAAAUUAACCUAAAAGAAGGGGUGCAGAUCCCACAGAAGAAACAAUACCUUCUUAAAAGGAAGCUCUAGAGGGAAUUCAACUAGUACUGCAGAAAUACUUAAAAGCAGGCUUAAUUUGGCCAUCCUAGUCUUUCUAUAAUACCCCUAUUUGGCCAAAAGCCUCAAAGACAACUGUUCACUACAGAAAUCUCCCAGAAGGCAGGAUGGGCACUACAGGUUCCAUGGAAACUACAUGCAUCUUGGAGACCUCAAUCUACAGAAAAGAUAGAGAAAAUGAACCACAUAAUAAAGAAGAGCCUGAAAAAAUAUGCCAGGAAACAUGUUUGAAAUGGAACCAGGCCCUCCCUAUUGCCUUGCUCUGAAUUUGGGUGGCUUCCAGAAUGGGCUAAAAUUAAGCCCUUUUGAGAUAGUUUAUGGGAGAUGCUUCCAAGUUUCUGUUUUAGGAACACCCUCUUCAGAUUUCGAACAUGAAUGAAAAGUCAAACAAUAUGUACAACAUUAGGGCAAACACAACUUUGUGCAAGUUUGUUCACUUCAGGUCUAUCUACCUGUCUGAAGAACCCUUACACCCAUCCCAGCUGAGACACCGAGUCUAACUAAAGACCUGGAAGACUUGAGGUCCUGAACAGCAGUCAACUGAAUAAUGGACCUCUUUCUGACAACACACUCUUGCCUAAAGCCUACAGGAAUCCAGCACUGGGUCCAUAACACACGGAUAAAGCAGGUGCGGCCCGAGGAGAACUCAGAUCUCACUGCUGCUGUUGAAACUGCAAGGGAAGGCUGGACCUGAACUCCUGAAGGAUCUAUAAAUUCCUUUUUCAGAGAGAGGCAGCACCUACACUUUCAAUAAUGGAUAGAACAACCAGUUAAGAUAUCAAUAAGUAAGUAGAGAACUUGAACGCCACUAUAAGGCAACUUGACCUAACAGACAUACAGGACACCUCACCCCAAACCAGCAGAAUAUAUUCUUCUCAUGUGCAAUAGAAGAUUCUUCAGUAUAGUCCAUAUGUUACGCCAGAAACAAGUCUCAAUAAAGUCUGAAAGACUGAAACCAAGAGGUAUUAUCUUCUUCAACCACAAAAGAAUAAAACUAACAUCAGUAUCAGAAAAAAAA